RNAcentral lists this long non-coding RNA (580 nucleotides) under Homo sapiens (human). RNAcentral describes it as "non-protein coding LINC01120:1". Lineage: Eukaryota; Metazoa; Chordata; Mammalia; Primates; Hominidae. The record is from RNAcentral.
GAAGAGAAACAGAUGUUCUUGUUCCCAAGAGGGUCUCGUGUGCAACUCAGAGGAGCGGGCCUAGGGCUCAGACUCCCCCAUGACGGGCGAGUUCCCAGCAUGGAGGCCUUGGAACCUGAAGCUGUCACAUUGGCAAGAAUCUGCUUGGGAGGCAUGAGGACAUUGGGCUCGUGGUGGGCCAGCAGCUUGGCUGCUCUGGUGCUGGAGAGGCCCUGAGAAGGCCAAGCAAAACACACGCACAAAGAGAAAUAAAAAAUGGGUGGGGAUAAUGUUUCAAAUCAAGGAAGGAACCUCAUUUUAUUCUGAACAUACUAGUUUUGACUGUUUUCACCCUGAAAUUUUCACUACUAAAUAUAUUUGAAAGCAAGUCUUUUUUCCUUAACAUUUGUUUCAUACACAGCACGUGUUCCUGUGUUCAUUUGAAUAUUCUGUGAUGACCUGUCACGGAGGUCAUGUGAUGAUGUAUAUCCUGCCCUCCAUCCCAACUGCCACUGGGUUUCAACUGCCACCUAAACACUGAACUUAGUGGUCCCCAGCCUUUUUGACACUAGGGACUGUUUUCAUGGAAGAUAAUUUUUCA